GACGAACGCUGGCGGCGUGCUUAACACAUGCAAGUCGAACGAAGAGCGAUGGAAGCUUGCUUCUAUCAAUCUUAGUGGCGAACGGGUGAGUAACGCGUAAUCAACCUGCCCUUCAGAGGGGGACAACAGUUGGAAACGACUGCUAAUACCGCAUACGAUCUAAUCUCGGCAUCGAGGAUAGAUGAAAGGUGGCCUCUACAUGUAAGCUAUCACUGAAGGAGGGGAUUGCGUCUGAUUAACUAGUUGGAGGGGUAACGGCCCACCAAGGCGAUGAUCAGUAGCCGGUCUGAGAGGCGGAACGGCCACAUUGGGACUGAGACACAGCCCAGACCCCUACGGGAGGCAGCAGUGGGGAAUCUUCCGCAAUGGACGAAAGUCUGACGGAGCAACGCCGCGUGAGUGAUGACGGCCUUCGGGUUGUAAAGCUCUGUUAAUCGGGACGAAAGGCCUUCUUGCGAAUAGUGAGAAGGAUUGACGGUACCGGAAUAGAAAGCCACGGCUAACUACGUG
RNAcentral lists this ribosomal RNA (510 nucleotides) under uncultured bacterium. Its description in RNAcentral is "partial 16S ribosomal RNA". It matches the Rfam family "Bacterial small subunit ribosomal RNA", at positions 28 to 507 of the family's 1533-position model. The record is from RNAcentral.